Molecule: ribosomal RNA, 514 nt
Filed under: Bacillus siamensis
Lineage: Bacteria; Bacillati; Bacillota; Bacilli; Caryophanales; Bacillaceae
Description: bacterial SSU rRNA
Rfam family: Bacterial small subunit ribosomal RNA
Source: RNAcentral
UAACACGUGGGUAACCUGCCUGUAAGACUGGGAUAACUCCGGGAAACCGGGGCUAAUACCGGAUGCUUGUUUGAACCGCAUGGUUCAGACAUAAAAGGUGGCUUCGGCUACCACUUACAGAUGGACCCGCGGCGCAUUAGCUAGUUGGUGAGGUAACGGCUCACCAAGGCGACGAUGCGUAGCCGACCUGAGAGGGUGAUCGGCCACACUGGGACUGAGACACGGCCCAGACUCCUACGGGAGGCAGCAGUAGGGAAUCUUCCGCAAUGGACGAAAGUCUGACGGAGCAACGCCGCGUGAGUGAUGAAGGUUUUCGGAUCGUAAAGCUCUGUUGUUAGGGAAGAACAAGUGCCGUUCAAAUAGGGCGGCACCUUGACGGUACCUAACCAGAAAGCCACGGCUAACUACGUGCCAGCAGCCGCGGUAAUACGUAGGUGGCAAGCGUUGUCCGGAAUUAUUGGGCGUAAAGGGCUCGCAGGCGGUUUCUUAAGUCUGAUGUGAAAGCCCCCGGCUC